RNAcentral lists this ribosomal RNA (465 nucleotides) under uncultured bacterium. RNAcentral describes it as "partial 16S ribosomal RNA". It matches the Rfam family "Bacterial small subunit ribosomal RNA", at positions 338 to 795 of the family's 1533-position model. The record is from RNAcentral.
CCUACGGGAGGCAGCAGUGGGGAAUAUUGCGCAAUGGGCGAAAGCCUGACGCAGCGACGCCGCGUGCGGGAUGAAGGUCUUAGGAUCGUAAACCUCUGUCAGCAGGGAAGAACGGUCACUGUGCUAAUCAGCAGUGAAUUGACGGUACCUGCAAAGGAAGCACCGGCUAACUCCGUGCCCGCAGCCGCGGUGAUACGGCGGGUGCGAGCGUUAAUCGGAAUUACUGGGCGUAAAGCGCUCGUAGGCGGUAUGUCAAGUCAAGGGGGAAAUCCCCGCGCUCAACGUGGGAACUGCCUUUGAAACUGGCAAACUGGAGUGGGUGAGAGGAUAGUGGAAUGCCAGGUGUAGGAGUGAAAUCCGUAGAUAUCUGGAGGAACACCAGUGGCGAAGGCGACUAUCUGGCACAUAACUGACGCUGAGGAGCGAAAGCGUGGGUAGCAAACAGGAUUAGAUACCCCAGUAGUC